RNAcentral lists this ribosomal RNA (484 nucleotides) under uncultured bacterium. RNAcentral describes it as "partial 16S ribosomal RNA". It matches the Rfam family "Bacterial small subunit ribosomal RNA", at positions 30 to 507 of the family's 1533-position model. The record is from RNAcentral.
AUUGAACGCUGGCGGCAGGCCUAACACAUGCAAGUCGAGCGGAUGAAGGGAGCUUGCUCCUGGAUUCAGCGGCGGACGGGUGAGUAAUGCCUAGGAAUCUGCCUGGUAGUGGGGGAUAACGUCCGGAAACGGGCGCUAAUACCGCAUACGUCCUGAGGGAGAAAGUGGGGGAUCUUCGGACCUCACGCUAUCAGAUGAGCCUAGGUCGGAUUAGCUAGUUGGUGGGGUAAAGGCCUACCAAGGCGACGAUCCGUAACUGGUCUGAGAGGAUGAUCAGUCACACUGGAACUGAGACACGGUACAGACUCCUACGGGAGGCAGCAGUGGAGAAUAUUGGACGAUGGGCGAAAGCCUGAUCCAGCCAUGCCGCGUGUGUGAAGAAGGUCUUCGGAUUGUAAAGCACUUUAAGUUGGGAGGAAGGGCAGUAAGUUAAUACCUUGCUGUUUUGACGUUACCAACAGAAUAAGCACCGGCUAACUUCGUG